CCCUGGCUCAGGACGAACGCAGGCGGCGUGCCUAAUACAUGCAAGUCGAGCGAAUGAUAGAGAAGCUUGCUUCUCUUGAUUCAGCGGCGGACGGGUGAGUAACACGUGGGUAACCUACCUUAUAGUUUGGGAUAACUCCGGGAAACCGGGGCUAAUACCGAAUAACCUAUUUCACUUCAUGGUGAGAUACUAAAAGACGGUUUCGGCUGUCGCUAUAAGAUGGGCCCGCGGCGCAUUAGCUAGUUGGUGAGGUAAUGGCUCACCAAGGCAACGAUGCGUAGCCGACCUGAGAGGGUGAUCGGCCACACUGGGACUGAGACACGGCCCAGACUCCUACGGGAGGCAGCAGUAGGGAAUCUUCCACAAUGGACGAAAGUCUGAUGGAGCAACGCCGCGUGAGUGAAGAAGGAUUUCGGUUCGUAAAACUCUGUUGUAAGGGAAGAACAAGUACAGUAGUAACUGGCUGUACCUUGACGGUACCUUAUUAGAAAGCCACGGCUAACUA
This 505-nucleotide ribosomal RNA is filed under the name Pasteuriaceae bacterium CL5.75. RNAcentral describes it as "bacterial SSU rRNA". It matches the Rfam family "Bacterial small subunit ribosomal RNA", at positions 17 to 503 of the family's 1533-position model. The record is from RNAcentral. Lineage: Bacteria; Bacillati; Bacillota; Bacilli; Caryophanales; Pasteuriaceae.